RNA transcript from Python bivittatus (Burmese python), 1681 nucleotides. RefSeq lists it as uncharacterized. Lineage: Eukaryota; Metazoa; Chordata; Lepidosauria; Squamata; Pythonidae. The record is from RefSeq and is a predicted model, not a curated record.
CUAACUUAAGCAGCAUUUCAGUGUCCUUGUUUCAAAACACCUCUGCCUGGUCUUCAUGAAACUCCAAAGGAUACAAAUCCACAUGAAUAUGAUAUUGAUUGUUGUUGCUUUAUUCAUGCUCUCCUUUAUAGCAGAAUGAAACUUCUCCUGACUCAGAUUUUGAUUCUUGGCUUCUCAGUAUUGCUGUCCUUUCCAACAGCUGAAGGAAUCACGUGUCAUCAGUGUUAUUCAGUUAAAAAGGACAAUAAAUGUAGAAAACCAUCCACCUGCGAUGUGUCUAAAACACAAUUUUGCUUCAUUCAAAGAAUCUCCAGAGGAGGAGACAUUAGGAAAAUAAGCCAAGGUUGCACUUCUUAUUGUGUAGAUAUUGUUCAGUUCACCAAUGCCUUUAUAAAGUAUACCUUUUGCUGCAGGACAGAUUACUGUAACAAAUAUAAUGUUUGGCAAUUUCUUUAACUUCAGUCUUGGCAGCAGCUGCUUCAUUCCUUCUGCUACUGACAACUCAUAUGUGUCUUCCAAACACAUGGGAUAAUAAUGUGACAUGGUGGUGGUGACUUCCUAUUUGUUUAUGUGGGUUGAAGGACCCAUUGGGAUACAGCUUUACAGUAUGUCUUUCCAGUAAGCCUCUGUGCUUUAGGGUUUUGUACAAUGAUCUGUUCACCAGACUUAGAGUUAAGGGAAUGAGGGGAGGAAGAAAUGUAAUUUUCAGACAAAAAUGGCCUCUACACAGUAACCUUGGCAAAUUGUCAAAUCUUUUGCUGCUUUUGUUCAUAUCACUCCUACUGGGAGUGAAUUGAAUGAGUAAAUAUGAGCAAUUUUGAAUGGCAGAGUGUCAUAUCUGCACAGCAGCGACAUAGAGCCAUCACCAAAUCACUCCAAGUUCACCAGGACUGAUGCUUUCCUACCUGAGGCAAAAAGACAAGAUGGGCCACCUUCUAUGUGAAGAAAGGGCUUGGACCAGCAAUGGCAAAUUCUCUUCCACUGCAUAUGAAUGCAAGAAGCAGGCAUUGUAGGACAGGCUGUAUUGUGCUCAUAGUUCUCUUGAGGGUCACCAAAAACAAUAUAGAUUUUUGUGGCACCUUAAAGACCAACCAUUUUUUAAAGUAUAAACUUUGAUGGAUUGCCCUUGAGUUCAUCAGAUAGGUGAGACGUUCCUCUGACAUGGAUAUUGGAUUUUGAUAGCCAUGAUGGAGGUGGUGGUGGUGGUGGUAGGGAGCAGAAAAUGAAGCCACCAAGACCAUGACAUUAGGAAUGAUUACUUAAUAGCUCACGUACAGGAGGUUUCUUGGCCUUCCAGAUGUUUUGAAUAGCAGUUUCCACCAUCCCAACAAUAAAACAUUGGGAAAGCAAGUCUAAGCCAUUUCCAGAUAUAGGAAGUGCCAAUUCAUUUACAAAACAAUUAUUGGUUGUGACAAAGGCAUUCUUACACUGACGAGCUGAUUAGCAUAUUGUGUGAUAAAGAAAUGUUAAUCUCUGUUUAAUCCUUGAGAAACAAUGUAAAACAUCCUAAUAAACUUGAGCUCCUUUUAUUCUCUCCUUUCCACGUACAUGAUUUGUUUUUUGGAGUGAGAAAUGAGUAAUAAUAUAUCUUGCUAUGUCUUCUAAUAAGAUAAUUCAAACUGGUUGUGUGGUUUCUCUGAUUUCUUCUACCCUCGUCUUUCCCAAAAUGCAGCAGGGAAAA